UGAUACACAGGUGCUGCAUGGCCGCCGUCAGCUCGUGUCGUGAGAUGUAGGGUUAAGUCCCGAAACGAGCGCAACCCUAUUCUAUGUUACAAGUGUCUUAGAAAACCGCCUCGGUAAAACGAGGAGGAAGGUGGGGAUGACGUCUGGUCCGCAUAGCCCUUAUGUCCUGGGCUACACACGCGCUACAAUGGCCGAUACAGUAGGAAGCCAAAUCGUAAGAUGGAGCUAACCCUUAAAGUCGGUCUCAGUUCGGAUUGAGGUCUGAAAUUCGACCUCAUGAAGUUGGAUUCGCUAGUAAUCGUAGAUCAGCAAUGCUACGGUGAAUACGUUCUCGGGUCUU
This 340-nucleotide ribosomal RNA is filed under the name uncultured Thermovirga sp. Its description in RNAcentral is "bacterial SSU rRNA". It matches the Rfam family "Bacterial small subunit ribosomal RNA", at positions 1028 to 1382 of the family's 1533-position model. The record is from RNAcentral. Lineage: Bacteria; Thermotogati; Synergistota; Synergistia; Synergistales; Thermovirgaceae.